RNAcentral lists this long non-coding RNA (357 nucleotides) under Elaeis guineensis (African oil palm). RNAcentral describes it as "long non-coding RNA (EGUI_LNC054299)". The record is from RNAcentral. Lineage: Eukaryota; Viridiplantae; Streptophyta; Magnoliopsida; Arecales; Arecaceae.
UUGGGUGUGAGUUGUUGCAUGGAGAACGUGUGAGAUGUUCCCGAUGGCAUCCGAUCGCUAAGUAUAAAUAGGAUGCUACGUCGGGUAUUCUGAUCUAUCAAAAAUCUAUUCUAUCUCUUCUUUCUUACUAGUCUCCUAGGUUGUGUAAAUAGCUCUCUUCUUUCUCUUGUUAGGACAAGUCCUAAAAUAAUAGGGACAAGUCUGAUUUAGGAUAAGGAUCUAGGAAGAGAAUUAGAAAAGGCAUGGAGAAAGAAAGAUAGAGAUAGGAAGGCUAGGGAGAGAGGAAGGAAGCCCUAAGGUUCUUUUACCCAAAGAAGUUCUUGAAGGAAGAAUUCAGAGGGAGGAACCAUCUUAAGG